Ribosomal RNA from Hevea brasiliensis (rubber tree), 119 nucleotides. Lineage: Eukaryota; Viridiplantae; Streptophyta; Magnoliopsida; Malpighiales; Euphorbiaceae. The record is from RefSeq and is a predicted model, not a curated record.
AUGUGUGAUCAUACUAGCAUUAGUGCACCGGAUCCCAUCAGAACUCUGAAGUUAAACGUGCUUAGGCGAGUGCAGUACUAAGAUGGGUGACCUCUUGGAAAGUCCACGUGUUGCACCCC